RNAcentral lists this ribosomal RNA (885 nucleotides) under uncultured bacterium. RNAcentral describes it as "bacterial SSU rRNA". It matches the Rfam family "Bacterial small subunit ribosomal RNA", at positions 38 to 917 of the family's 1533-position model. The record is from RNAcentral.
UCCGGGCGGCAGCUUUCCAUGCAGUCGACGAUGAACCUUAGCUUGCUAGGGGGAUUAGUGGCGAACGGGUGAGUAAUAUAUCGGAACGUGCCUUGUAAUGGGGGAUAACUAGUCGAAAGAUUAGCUAAUACCGCAUACGCCCUGAGGGGGAAAGUAGGGGAUCUUCGGACCUUACGUUAUAAGAGCGGCCGAUAUCUGAUUAGCUAGUUGGUGGGGUAAUAGCCUACCAAGGCUUCGAUCAGUAGCUGGUCUGAGAGGACGACCAGCCACACUGGAACUGAGACACGGUCCAGACUCCUACGGGAGGCAGCAGUGGGGAAUUUUGGACAAUGGGCGCAAGCCUGAUCCAGCCAUUCCGCGUGAGUGAAGAAGGCCUUCGGGUUGUAAAGCUCUUUCGCAAGGGAAGAAAACUUACUUUCUAAUAAAGAGUGAGGCUGACGGUACCUUGAUAAGAAGCACCGGCUAACUACGUGCCAGCAGCCGCGGUAAUACGUAGGGUGCGAGCGUUAAUCGGAAUUACUGGGCGUAAAGCGUGCGCAGGCGGUUUGGCAAGUCAGAUGUGAAAUCCCCGAGCUCAACUUGGGAACUGCGUUUGAAACUGCCAGACUAGAAUAUGUCAGAGGGGGGUAGAAUUCCACGUGUAGCAGUGAAAUGCGUAGAGAUGUGGAGGAAUACCAAUGGCGAAGGCAGCCCCCUGGGAUAAUAUUGACGCUCAUGCACGAAAGCGUGGGGAGCAAACAGGAUUAGAUACCCUGGUAGUCCACGCCCUAAACGAUGUCUACUAGUUGUUGGGUGGAGUAAAAUCCAUGAGUAACGCAGCUAACGCGUGAAGUAGACCGCCUGGGGAGUACGGUCGCAAGAUUAAAACUCAAAGGAAUUGACGGA